AUUGAACGCUGGCGGCAGGCCUAACACAUGCAAGUCGAGCGGAUGAAGGGAGCUUGCUCCUGGAUUCAGCGGCGGACGGGUGAGUAAUGCCUAGGAAUCUGCCUGGUAGUGGGGGAUAACGUCCGGAAACGGGCGCUAAUACCGCAUACGUCCUGAGGGAGAAAGUGGGGGAUCUUCGGACCUCACGCUAUCAGAUGAGCCUAGGUCGGAUUAGCUAGUUGGUGGGGUAAAGGCCUACCAAGGCGACGAUCCGUAACUGGUCUGAGAGGAUGAUCAGUCACACUGGAACUGAGACACGGUCCAGACUCCUACGGGAUGCAGCAGUGGGGAAUAUUGGACAAUGGGCGAAAGCCUGAUCCAGCCAUGCCGCGUGUGUGAAGAAGGUCUUCGGAUUGUAAAGCUCUUUAAGUUGGGAGGAAGGGCAGUAAGUUAAUACCUUCCUGUUUUGACGUCACCCACAGAAUAAGCACCGGCUAACUUCGUG
RNAcentral lists this ribosomal RNA (484 nucleotides) under uncultured bacterium. Its description in RNAcentral is "partial 16S ribosomal RNA". It matches the Rfam family "Bacterial small subunit ribosomal RNA", at positions 30 to 507 of the family's 1533-position model. The record is from RNAcentral.